UAGUCUACGCCGUAAACGAUGGAUACUAGUUGUUUGGUUUUCGGACUGAGUGACUAAGCGAAAGUGAUAAGUAUCCCACCUGGGGAGUACGUUCGCAAGAAUGAAACUCAAAGGAAUUGACGGGGCCCGCACAAGCGGUGGAGCAUGUGGUUUAAUUCGAUGAUACGCGAGGAACCUUACCAGGGCUUAAAUGUAGUCUGACAGCUUUAGAGAUAGAGUUUUCUUCGGACAGAUUACAAGGUGCUGCAUGGUUGUCGUCAGCUCGUGCCGUGAGGUGUCAGGUUAAGUCCUAUAACGAGCGCAACCCCUGUUGUUAGUUGCCAGCGAGUAAUGUCGGGAACUCUAGCAAGACUGCCGGUGCAAACCGCGAGGAAGGUGGGGAUGACGUCAAAUCAGCACGGGCCCUUAGUCCAGGGGCUACACACGUGUUACAAUGGGCAUAGACAGAGGGCAGCUACACAGCGAUGUGAUGCGAACCUCGAAACUAUGUCUCAGUUCGGA
Molecule: ribosomal RNA, 501 nt
Filed under: uncultured bacterium
Lineage: Bacteria
Description: bacterial SSU rRNA
Rfam family: Bacterial small subunit ribosomal RNA
Source: RNAcentral